GCACAGUGAGAACUAGAAAAGCACAAAGUAGGUGACUGUGUGGAUGCCUGUUCAAAACAUUGCAAACUUUAGUCAUUUCAAAUAUCUGAUAGUCAGUCUCAGUCGUACAUCGUUCUUGCUGUGAGUAGCUUUGAUAGCUGUGCACACCUUCCUGCUUCACCCACAGGCUGUCUGAAGGUAUACACAGCUCUCAUAGGGACUUCACAAUAACAACGAUAUGAAGUAAUAAGUCUGGCAAAAAUAACUGGUUUAAACAGUUUAUUUAAGCUUGCAAUGUUUUGAACAGACAUCCCCACAGUCAGCUCAUUUGUCGUUGUGUAGUCCUCGCUGAGAGUCCUGCUAUCUUUACCACAGCCUCAGAUACUCGCACUGAACGAGCAGCAAAUGUUCCUAUGGAGCCAAAUAUAGCAGAAGAGAAAUGUGAACCACAGACCAAACGAUCAAGAUAUGCAUUUCCUGGUUAGUCGACAUUGGCUGCUCUGAUUGUUAUUGAAUUACUGACCGAAUACUUUGAGAAAGCUGUGGGCUUUUGAAAGCAACUUAACGUGGAAUGACUCCAGAGCGACUGAUUUCCGGACCCUGGGGCUCAGAGGGCUUCCUAUUAUCCGUGGCCACAGAGCAGGCUUUGACUCUGAUGAGGACUGGUUCCGCUGCGUUGACAUUGGGAUCCUCCUGGUUGAGAUGAAGGUGCUGUGCCCUCAUCUUCCCUGCAUCACAGUCCAGCCCCGCUGAAGAUCAUCACGGAGGGACAAGUUGUGAUGGACAACAUUCAAGACCUGCCAAAAGCUCUGUGCAUUCUGUGUGGACUUCCAUAUGCACUGCAUCUCAACUACCCCGAGUCUAUGGUGCUCACAGUUCAUCCUAAAGGUACUGCUCACGUUGGGCCGAGGUGAACUCAGACCAAGGUUACAGACAUUGAAGAACUGCAAUGUGAAGAAAUGCACAGACACUUGUGACCUUCUGUUCAUCUGCUGCCAGUUCUCUCAGAUAUAAACAUCUCAAAGUAGAAAUAAAAAUAAAGUGGAAUUACAGAAAGUAUAUCUUCUCUAACUCCAGUUUAUUUUUACUUUAUAUCUCAAAAUAGAAAUAAUAUCAACAAUGCUAUUUGCACCCGGGUGCGUAGCUAGUUGUGCUCGCUCGAAUAUUGACCCAAUUCUGGCUCCAUAAUCAGCACUUGAGUCCUGGCUCUGCUGGGAGGGGCUUCUGGUCCUCACCACACACUCUUUACCGUAAACCUCCAGCCGUCCUCACCGGGCUGCAGCCCCUCGCUCUUCUGAUCCUCCUGUCACAUUCCUCACCUGGACCUCAGUCCUCCCCUGCUGACCGCAUGGAAGGGGGGCUCAAUGUGAAGUUCAAUGGCAGAUUCAACAUUGGUUUUUUUCUUAGUUGUUCCUUUCAAUAAUAAUUGAACAACAGGAACGUAAAGAAACACAACGCUGAAAUCAGUUAUUGUCCCUCAUUGUUUUUCUCCCAGCACCUACUCGUAAUAAACCAAACAAACAUUGUCUUUCAUUAUAAGAUAAAUCCAACUAAAGCUAAAUACUCAUAUACUCACAUUUAGUUAAAUGUUUAUAAACAAAUGCAUUUUUAGUAGUCUGUUUUCUUAAGUCACAUUUGAUUGUUACCUGAAUCAAAAGAAGUGUGCGUGAGUUAUAGAAUGUAUUCCUCAUCGCCUGUGAACAAUCUAUUUAUUUGCUUGUGGAAGUUGGAGUGGGAAUAAGACUCGGAUAAAGAAAUGUUCGACUUCUCGUAAACUGUUCUGUAUUUGUCACGGCUCAGUCCUAUAGGCAGGUGGGG
This is a long non-coding RNA of Eleginops maclovinus (Patagonian blennie), 1797 nucleotides long. RefSeq lists it as uncharacterized. NCBI's taxonomy places the organism in Eukaryota, Metazoa, Chordata, Actinopteri, Perciformes, Eleginopidae. The record is from RefSeq and is a predicted model, not a curated record. The transcript is spliced from 3 exons.